UGCAAUUGUUAAUUCAUACAGACCACAAGCACGGGUCUUGGAGCAAAAUUAACAGAGACAGAGUAGAGAAAAGUAGUGAAACGAAGGGAUUUAAUACACACAAUGGUUUCCUCCAAACACUUAGUCCUCAUUGCCCUAUUGGGCUUCUCCACCAUCUGUCAUGCCAUCAACAUGGAGAGCAUGAUCGAUGAAGAAAAUGCCAAAUGUGAAAGUGGCAGUGACAGCAUGGCCUGCGUGAAAGUAAGAGCUAUGAGAUUUUUGGAUACCGUUAUGACUAAAGAAGAUUUCAAGAUCUCCAAUGUUGAGGUUAAAUCAAAUGGUUAUCAAGCUCCUACAUCGGUUGAAGGUAGAUCCAGCAGUGGUGACUUCUUUGAUGCUAUUGAAAACUAUAUCCAAGGUCAUGACGUUACCAUGGACUUGCCUAUGGCUGAUGCCAAAGUCACUGUCUCAUCCCGUAAUUUGAAAAACGAUGAAUUAAGUCUUAAUGUCAAAUUUGCGGGUGAGGGUGUCGUCGAAGGCAAGGGCAAGAAACAUCGUUUGCGUAAAAUGGCCAUGCCCAUUAUGGUCUUGAUCUUGUUGAAGGCUAUCACCAUCAUCCCCAUGGCUAUUGGUAUCUUGAAGAUUAAGGCUUUGAACGCUUUGGGUUUGGGUUUCUUCUCUUUCAUUGUUUCGGUUGGUUUGGCCAUUUUCCAAUUGUGCAAGAAGGCAAUAUUUGGAUGUUAGAAGGGUGAUAAAUAAAGCGAAGAGAGCUAAAGUGGAGAAAUGGCGUUAAAACAUAAGUGAGAGAUUGUAAUUUUAAACGUUAUUAUAAACAUACCAAAGACUAAAGCAUACAUAAAUCAAGGAUUGCCGCUGAACACCAUCACUCUGCCCACAUCACCUCCCAUGGUCCAUGGGAUGGACGUUCUGUCAGUUCUAUUGCCAGCGUAGAACAAUUCGAAUCAAAUCCCUCCGCCCAAAACUUGGCCUACAGUGCUUACAAUUAAGUUUUAGUAACAUACCAAAAAAAACAACAUAAAGCCCCCUACCUUACCUCCCUACUUUCCCCUUUCCUACUCCGUUAUACAUAACAAGGAAAACAAAACAAGAACAAAAGAAUAUGUAAAAGCUUCUUAAAACAACAACGACAACCUCUAACAAGUUUAAGUAUACGAGUAACUGGCCAAAAAGAACAAAUUUUAAAUUAUGGAAAAAAGGUUCAACAACAGAUGACAUCUCUAGGUCAUUGUUUUUUCCGUUCAUGUUCAUUCAUUUCUGGCAAAUGAUUGAUUUUAAAUUGGAAUGAAAUUUAUAGAAGCGGAAAUUUAAAUUACCACCUUCUAGUUGUUUCUUUUCCAAUUUAUUAGUUGAUCCUUUUCCAUUUCACUUUGUUGACUUCAGAACUCAUAUAUUUAGGCCGGGUCAAUUCCAAAGAAUAUAUUUUUAUAAUUUUUAUUUAUAAAAAUGUGAAGUUUUUAUAUGCAACUUUUGUUUACACUUAGUUGAGUUUAAUUUAUUUAUUUUUGUAAUUUUAAUAAUUUAUUUAUUGUAAAAAACCCAAAAAAAACAUGAAAAAAAGAA
RNA transcript from Lucilia sericata (common green bottle fly), 1560 nucleotides. RefSeq lists it as uncharacterized. The record is from RefSeq and is a predicted model, not a curated record. NCBI's taxonomy places the organism in Eukaryota, Metazoa, Arthropoda, Insecta, Diptera, Calliphoridae. The transcript is spliced from 5 exons.